CCUACGGGUGGCAGCAGUAGGGAAUAUUGCUCAAUGGGGGAAACCCUGAAGCAGCAACGCCGCGUGGAUGAAGAAGGUAUUCGGAUUGUAAACUUCUUUUGGGAGGGAAGAUAAUGACGGUAACUCAGUAAUAAGCACCGGCUAACCCCGUGCCAGCAGCCGCGGUAAUACGUAGGGGGCAAGCGUUAGUCGGAUUUACUGGGCGUAAAGGGUGCGUAGGCGGGAGUGCAAGUCAGGAGUGAAAGGCGGUGGCUUAACCACCGGACUGCCUUUGAAACUGUGCGUCUAGAGUGCGGGAGAGGUAGGUGGAAUUCAUGGUGUAGGGGUAAAAUGCGUAGAUAUUAGGAGGAAUACUGAUGGCGAAGGCGACUUACUGGAAUGUAACUGACGCUGAGGCACGAAAGCGUGGGGAGCAAACAGGAUUAGAUACCCCAGUAGUC
Molecule: ribosomal RNA, 440 nt
Filed under: uncultured bacterium
Lineage: Bacteria
Description: partial 16S ribosomal RNA
Rfam family: Bacterial small subunit ribosomal RNA
Source: RNAcentral